CGGUUUAAUUGAAAAAACAUAGGCCUUUUUUUAGGGUUUAAUUGGAAAAGAGUCCAGACGCUACCCACAAAUCUAUCUCUUCCCUCCGGCUCACUCGGUCUCUCUCCCCUCUCGCUCAUCUCGCCCUCUCUCUUACCCUGUCUCGCUCACGCUUAGAGCCGAGUGCUUCUCCUGCUUUUUUUCCAUAGCACAAGCUCACAAUCUCCCCUCUCCUCACCCAGACGACGUCGUUUGCUUCGGUUUCCUCCGAAGAACAACUUGGAGUUGAGAGUCCUUUCUCGUUCUCACAGUUGGCUCUACGUGCGACUAUGUCUGAGCGAUGAGUAGUCGAGCAGUGGAAGACGACGCACUGGCCAAAGCCGCAAGAGCUGCCGAAGCUCUUUACCUCCUCUGAGACACCUACUUUCCAGCCGACCCGGAUGACAAAAUCUCCAGAUUAAACGCCGAUUCCGAUCUUGCCCUCAACCUCCUCGAUUCCAUACCUCUUGAGCAAAGAAAACAUCCGGCUUAACAUGCGAAAUACGAAUAUCUGAGAGGAAAGAUACUAGAUGUUUUACCGAAUUAUAGAAAAGAAGUAGAGGAUCAUCUAUCAAAAGCUGUUAAGUUGAAUCCAUCUCUUUCAGAUGCUUGGCUAUGUUUAGGUAACCGCAUUUGGAAGAAGGGAGAUCUAUCUUCAGCCAAGAACUGCUUUAAUCUUGCCCUAAGCAAGGUUAUUCUUGAUUAGAUUUUUGUAGUUUUAUUGCAGUGACCUCUCGAUUCAUUGUACUAUAAGUUUUAUGAUUGAGACGUGCGUUGCGUUUGGAGGCAGGGUCCAAAAAGGCAAAUACUCUGUCAACUUUCGAUGCUUGAAAGAAAAAUGGUUCAAGGCAACCGUUUUGUCGCUCAACUUGUUUUUCCUGUUGUUUUUCAUGAUGUUUGCGUCAUUAUGCUUACCUAAUUUUCAUCAUUUUUCUAGGUACCGUCAAUGAGGCAGGACAAAAGCAUUCAACAUGCCAAGGAAGCCAUAACUCUUGAUGUCAAGGAUGGCAAUUCAUGGUGUAAGAUCUCAUAAUCAACCAUCUCAAAAAGUUCUAUAUUCUUCGGAUUUGAACAAUCUUGGAAAUGCAUGUCUUACAAGAUUCUUUGUGACUGGAGCUUGGGACCAUUCCAAACUUCUGCAAUCUUUGAAGGCAUACCAAAAUGCAAUAAGUGCUUAAAGUAAGAACUACUGCAGAGUCAGAGUCAGUUGUCUAUGUGCUGUAUUUCUUGUAAGUAUGGAUCUUCUGUCAGUUAGAAGAUGUUCUAAUGUUUUACGUUGCGUAUCACGAAAAGGAUGAAAGAAUGCAGUCCAAUCCAGACCUAUAUUUUUUAACUGUGCCACUGUAAGCUCAGUUUUUCUUGUGUUUUGUCUGGAAUUAGUACUCAUAAGUUUCUCAAGUAGAUGAUGAUUCGUCAAUCUUUCUUUUCUGAGUCAGCGUCUAGAUAGGUUAAAGAUAGAGUUGUACUAAUACAAGUAGAGAGAAUAGGAAACAGUAAUGAUAAAUUAUAUAUUAUUUUCUGUUUUUGUUAAGUAAAGAGGAGGAUGUAUGAAGUGACAUAAGUUGCAUGAGUCUUAGAAAGACAUUCUGCCACCCGAUUGGGUCCUUAGUACUGCUCAAUAUCUCAUGUUUUGUACAAUUAUAAGAUUAAGUUUCUGGUUUUAGGUAAACAGAUAUCUGGAAAACUAUGAAAGGGCCCUUUCUGGAUUUGAAGAUGCUGCUUUAAAGGAUCCUGGUCUCAAUGCUACAGAGGAGGUUUAAAAGAUUGUUAGCCUUCUUGACAAGCUGGAUAAUCUGGUAUUUCGGUGUCUUCAAUGUUGAUAUUAAGUUAGCCUCCUCGCAUGAGUUUUCUGCCCUGAUAUUGUUAAGUUUCAGUAUCUUUGGGUGUUUUACCCGUUGGUUUUGCUAUUGUUUUAACUUUUACAUAUUAUUUACAGCCUUGCUGUGUAUCCGUUUGUAUGCUAUAUUGCAAGAAUUAUGCACGACUUUGCUAGGCUUAUUGUUGAGAUUGUCAAAAAUUUCGUUGCACUUUGAUGUGUUUAAAAAUUAAAACAAUAUCAUUUUCCUUUGUGUUGAU
Molecule: non-coding RNA, 2094 nt
Organism: Malus domestica (apple)
Lineage: Eukaryota; Viridiplantae; Streptophyta; Magnoliopsida; Rosales; Rosaceae
Source: RefSeq, a predicted model, not a curated record